UACGUAGGGGGCUAGCGUUGUCCGGAAUCAUUGGGCGUAAAGAGCGUGUAGGCGGCCCGGUAAGUCCGCUGUAAAAGUCAAAGGCUCAACCUUUGAAUGUCAGUGGAUACUGCCGGGCUAGAGUCCGGAAGAGGCGAGUGGAACUCCUGGUGUAGCGGUGAAAUGCGCAGAUAUCAGGAAGAACACCAAUGGCGAAGGCAGCUCUCUGGGACGGUACUGACGCUGAGACGCGAAGGCUAGGGGAGCGAACGGG
This 253-nucleotide ribosomal RNA is filed under the name uncultured bacterium. RNAcentral describes it as "partial 16S ribosomal RNA". It matches the Rfam family "Bacterial small subunit ribosomal RNA", at positions 524 to 776 of the family's 1533-position model. The record is from RNAcentral.